GUGAAUCAUCGAAUCUUUGAACGCACCUUGCACCUUGUGGUAUUCCACAGGGUAUGCCCGUUUGAGUAUCAUUAAAUCAUCAACUCCAAAUUAUUUUUGGUGCUUGGUCUUGAGGGUUAUUGCAGGCUUUUUACAAGUCGGCUCCCUUUAAAUCCAUUAGCGAGACUUCCCUGUGCUGAACUCGAGUUCUUGACGUGAUAGUCUAUCUGCGUCAAAUAUUAGAGUUCUCGUUGGGCUUGCUUAUAAUCGUCCUCUUUGGACAAUCGGAAUUGAGUGCAUAUAUGCGCUCUUUACCAACCUCUUUUGAUCUCAAAUCGGGUAGGACUACCCGCUGAACUUAAGCAUAUCAAUAAGCGGAGGA
This 361-nucleotide unclassified non-coding RNA is filed under the name Lindtneria sp. Its description in RNAcentral is "partial contains 5.8S ribosomal RNA, internal transcribed spacer 2, and large subunit ribosomal RNA". The stretch from base 1 to 71 matches the Rfam family "5.8S ribosomal RNA", at positions 84 to 154 of the family's 154-position model. The record is from RNAcentral. Lineage: Eukaryota; Fungi; Basidiomycota; Agaricomycetes; Agaricales; Stephanosporaceae.